UAGGGAAUCUUCCACAAUGGGCGAAAGCCUGAUGGAGCAACGCCGCGUGUGUGACGAAGGGUUUCGGCUCGUAAAACACUGUUGUAAGAGAAGAAUGACAUUGAGAGUAACUGUUCAAUGUGUGACGGUAUCUUACCAGAAAGGAACGGCUAAAUACGUGCCAU
RNAcentral lists this ribosomal RNA (164 nucleotides) under uncultured bacterium. RNAcentral's name for it is "partial 16S ribosomal RNA". It matches the Rfam family "Bacterial small subunit ribosomal RNA", at positions 355 to 511 of the family's 1533-position model. The record is from RNAcentral.